CUGGCACAGGGUCCCCCUCCAUACCCUACCUAUUAGUGAAGAUCCGUUCGGCAGAGUAGCUGUCGACAUUAUAGUUGCGCAGGCACUUUGUUGACUCUUAAGAACCUCGGGCCAAUCGCACGUCCCCGUGAUGACAACUUUGCAUUCGGAUAUCAUCCAUAUCAAUUUUCGAUGCCAGUUUCUGCACCUACCAUGGUGACCACGGGUAACGGGAAAUCAGGGUUGGAUUACGAUGAGGGAAUCUGAGAAACGGCUACCACUUGCAAGGAAGGCAACAGGCGUGCAAAUGACCCACUCCCGAUGCAUGAAGGUAGUGACGUCAAAUAACAAUACAGGACUCUUUAGAGACCCUGUAAUUGUAAUGAGUCCACUUGAAAUCCUUUAACUCUGAUCAAUUGGAGGGCAAGUCUGGUGCAGAGCGACUGACCCGUGCGUGCUGCAGCUGAAACUCCACUAUCACCUGCUGGUGCUCGCCCAGUCUCUCCAG
Pelobates cultripes (western spadefoot toad) is the source of this 487-nucleotide non-coding RNA. NCBI's taxonomy places the organism in Eukaryota, Metazoa, Chordata, Amphibia, Anura, Pelobatidae. The record is from the annotation of a GenBank genome assembly.